This 804-nucleotide long non-coding RNA is filed under the name Gallus gallus (chicken). Its description in RNAcentral is "lncRNA (ENSGALG00010007797.1)". The record is from RNAcentral. Lineage: Eukaryota; Metazoa; Chordata; Aves; Galliformes; Phasianidae.
AUAACGUUGACUGAAUAGGUGUUUGCUGACAGACAUUGACCUGCAGCCUAAAUAAUCACAUGAAGGAGAAGAAAACCUCCAGGAGUAGUCAGCAUGGCAAGUCGCACCUGUCCGAACAGAUAAGCUUCUAUAAGGAAUUCACCAGCCUGAUGGAUGAAGGAGGAGCAGAGGACAUUGUCUUCCCAGUCUUCCUUAAGGCCUUUGACACCGAUCCCCAUAAGGUCCUAGGGCUGAGGAGUCAUGAUGGACAUCAAGAUGAACUUGAGGCAGCAAUGUGCUGUUGAUACUAAGAAGGCUCAUGGUAUUCUUGGCUGAAUUAAGAGCAUGGAUUGAAGUCAGGUACCCCUUCUCCCCCUUGAGAAAGGAGCCAACAGAAGAAUCAAGAGAAAUGAAAGAGUAAAAGAGGUGGCUGCAAGUGAUACAAUGAGUACCAUAGAGACGACUGCAAAGCUGCUUGGAGUCCUGCUCAACACUCUAUCAAAACCUGUGCAACUCUGUCCACUCUGGGGGAGCUUAGCAAAUGGAAAUGACCACGUGUUUUUAACCAAUAAUCUACAAUAAUCACCAAUAAUCUACACAAAUAAAACUAUUAUUAUUAUUAUUAUUAUUAUUAUUAUUAUUAUUAUUAUUACAAAAAGGGAAACAAGCAAGUGAAGAAGGGGGAAAAAUAAAAUGUAUAAAGCGAGCUUCCACUUAGAGGUUUCAACCUAUGGGUUACAACCUAUGGCUUAAAGAGUUUUUAAUGGGUUGUUUCUUUGUCCUCACAGAACUCAGCGUGUCUAGAAACACAUUUUUUUGCAGCAG